Molecule: unclassified non-coding RNA, 587 nt
Filed under: Hevea brasiliensis (rubber tree)
Lineage: Eukaryota; Viridiplantae; Streptophyta; Magnoliopsida; Malpighiales; Euphorbiaceae
Source: RNAcentral
AAAGUAGAGAUGGCAGGUUCCUCUGCAUCAUAUAUAAGAAUACUCGAGUUAAAUAAAUAACGUUAAUGGGAAAACACAUUUAAACAAAGCACAUAUAAACAUACAAAAGCCUCGAUCCACAGCAAGAGCUUCUCUCCCUCCCUCUCAGAAGCAUAAGAAGAGCUAUGAAAUGGAAGCCCUUCUUUAGUUUCAUAGAAGAGGUGAACAAAGUUUUCAGAAGGUUCAGAAUGAUUUCAGACACCUUUUGAGACAAUGAUUAGAAUUGUCAAAGAAAAAAAUAGAAAACAAAAGAGAACGCCAGUAUGACUGUAUCAGAAAGUUUGUCUCUCUUCUUUAAAAUCAAGAUAUCAUGCGCCUUCCAUUCCCCUCCCAUUAAUUUGUAGCGGAAAAAGAAAAUAAAAGCAACUAAAGAUUGAAAUGUCAUGGUAAAAGUUCCAAGGAGUUUAUUUUGCAAUUUUUUUGCCCCCCAUCAAGACAAAACACAACGGAAAGAGACUGAUCAAAUGGCAUGCAAGCAAGUAUGCUAACAGCCAGCAGCUGCACAAUCUAAGCUAAGACCAAGAUGGCAAGCUCUAAAUAGAAAUAUU